GUUUCAGGGCGGAGUGCAAUUCUCCACCGGUGGUAAAGUCCACGAGCCUUUUUGGGUUGAUUCGGUGAAAUUCCGAAACCGACGGUAUAGUCCGGAUGAAAGAAA
This 105-nucleotide non-coding RNA is filed under the name uncultured Ruminiclostridium sp. RNAcentral's name for it is "FMN riboswitch (RFN element)". It matches the Rfam family "FMN riboswitch aptamer (RFN element)". From Rfam's summary of the family: The RFN element is a highly conserved domain that is found frequently in the 5'-untranslated regions of prokaryotic mRNAs that encode for flavin mononucleotide (FMN) biosynthesis and transport proteins. This element is a metabolite-dependent riboswitch that directly binds FMN in the absence of proteins. Lineage: Bacteria; Bacillati; Bacillota; Clostridia; Eubacteriales; Oscillospiraceae. The record is from RNAcentral.